Molecule: unclassified non-coding RNA, 1370 nt
Filed under: uncultured Neocallimastigales
Lineage: Eukaryota; Fungi; Neocallimastigomycota; Neocallimastigomycetes; Neocallimastigales
Description: partial contains small subunit ribosomal RNA, internal transcribed spacer 1, 5.8S ribosomal RNA, internal transcribed spacer 2, and large subunit ribosomal RNA
Rfam family: Eukaryotic large subunit ribosomal RNA (bases 615-1370)
Source: RNAcentral
GAGUAAAAGUCGUAACAAGGUUCGUAGGUGAACCUGCGGAAGGAUCAUUAAAAAAUGUGGUACCAAAUUAUUGGUACUAAUUAAUCAUCCUACCUUUGUGAAUUUGUUUGUAUGAAUUUUUUAAAUGGGUCUUCCCUAAGUUGGAUUGUUAGUAAAUACAAAAAGACUUAGGGAAUGACUUUUUAAAAGACUUUUUUUAAUUAAAACUUUUUGUAUUCAUUUGUCUAAAAUUUAUUUUUAUAAUAUAAAAACAACUUUUGACAAUGGAUCUCUUGGUUCUCGCAACAAUGAAGAACGCAGCAAAAUGCGAUAAGUAGUGUGAAUUGCAGAAUACGUGAAUCAUCGAAUCUCGAACGCAUAUUGCACUUUUUAGUUUACUAAAAAAGUAUGUCUGUUUGAGUAUCAGUAAAAUAUUCUCACAAAACAUGUUUUUUGUGGUUAUGAGUGUUUUACAACGAUAAACAAGUUGUUCACUUUAAAUUCUUUUUAAUUGAAUUUUACCAAUUCAUAAUUAAAAUUGGAUAAAAUUUUCCUUUAACGAGGAAUAACCUAAACAAUUUUAAAUUUUAUGGAUUAAUAAACAUUCAUCAAAGGAAUCUAUACAACAAAUAACUUGAUCUCAAUCAGAUAAGAGUACCCGCUGAACUUAAGCAUAUCAUAAGCGGAGGGAAAAGAAACUAACAAGGAUUCCCUUAGUAACGGGCGAGUGAAGCGGGAAGAGCUCAAAUUUGAAAUCUUCAAGGUUUGACCUUGACGAAUUGUAGUUUAUAGAAGUGUUUUCUGUUGGAGUUUUGGGUAAAAGUUCUUUGAAUAGGACAUCAUAGAGGGUGAGAAUCCGUAUUUGACCAUGACUUCCAGCUGUGUGAUACACUUUCAAAGAGUCGGAUUGUUUGGGAAUGCAGUCCAAAAUGGGUGGUAAAUUUCAUCUAAAGCUAAAUAUUGGCGAGAGACCGAUAGCGAACAAGUACCGUGAGGGAAAGAUGAAAAGAACUUUGAAAAGAGAGUUAAACAGUACGUGAAAUUGUCAAAAGGAAGCGUUUGACACCAGUGUUGUUUUCUCGAAAAUCAAUUUAAUGAGUUCUUGUUUUUAAGUUAUUGUGACUUUAUCAGCGCAUUUCUAUUUACUUGACUCAUUGAAUGCACUUUUCGUUUAACAAGUCAACAUCAAUUUUCUUUGGUGGUAAAAAGUUUUAAAGGAAGUGGCUUGGACUUCGGUUCAAGUGUUUAUAGCCUUUUUUCUAUGCCAUCGGAGAGAUUGAGGUCGCAGCGUAGAUCCUUCGGGUUAGAUACUUGUGCUAAGUUAUAGUUUUUAUAGACAAUUGUUGACUAUAAUUAACCCUGUAUUUACUCGCUUAGGCUAUUUUACCUAC